AAGUCGUAACAAGGUUUCCGUAGGUGAACCUGCGGAAGGAUCAUUACCGAACGGUCGACAAGAGUUAGUUGUGGUCCUCGAAAGGGGGCAUGUGCACGCUCUGUUUACACAUCCAUUCACUCCUGUGCACACUAUGUAGUUAUAUGGCUUGGGGACUCCGUCCUCUUGCCGUGGUCGUACGUCUUUACACACACACCGUAACAAAGUAUCUUGGAAUGCAUGUCGCGUUUAACGCAAUCCAAUACAACUUUCAGCAACGGAUCUCUUGGCUCUCGCAUGGAUGAAGAACGCAGGGAAAUGCGAUAAGUAAUGUGAAUUGCAGAAUUCAGUGAAUCAUUGAAUCUUUGAACGCACCUUGCGCCCUUUGGCUAUUCUGAAGGGCAUGCCUGUUUGAGUAUCAUGAACACCUCAACUCUCACGGCCUGCCCGCCGUGAUGAGCUUGGACUUUGGAGGUCUUGCCGGUGUACCGUCGGCUCCUUUCAAAAGAAUCAGCUUGCCAGUGUUUGGGGGCAUCACAGGUGUGAUAACCAUUUACGCUUGUGGUUUUCCCCCCGGCAACCUCCAGUGAAGGGGGUUCGCUGGAGCUCACAAAAGUCUUUCCUACGGGAGGA
Molecule: ribosomal RNA, 612 nt
Filed under: uncultured Tomentella
Lineage: Eukaryota; Fungi; Basidiomycota; Agaricomycetes; Thelephorales; Thelephoraceae
Description: eukaryotic LSU rRNA
Rfam family: 5.8S ribosomal RNA (bases 246-400)
Source: RNAcentral